RNAcentral lists this transfer RNA (74 nucleotides) under subsurface metagenome. Its description in RNAcentral is "tRNA-Val". It matches the Rfam family "tRNA". From Rfam's summary of the family: Transfer RNA (tRNA) molecules are approximately 80 nucleotides in length. The record is from RNAcentral.
GAUCCGGUGGCCAAGUUGGUAAGGCAAGAGCUAAACAAGCUCUAAAUCGCAGGUUCGAAUCCUGCCCGGAUCUC